GAUGAACGCUGGCGGCGUGCCUAAUACAUGCAAGUCGAGCGAACGGACGAGAAGCUUGCUUCUCUGACGUUAGCGGCGGACGGGUGAGUAACACGUGGAUAACCUACCUAUAAGACUGGGAUAACUUCGGGAAACCGUAGCUAAUACCGGAUAAUCUUUUGAACCGCAUGGUUCAAAAGUGAAAGACGGUCUUGCUGUCACUUAUAGAUGGAUCCGCGCUGCAUUAGCUAGUUGGUAAGGUAACGGCUUACCAAGGCAACGAUGCAUAGCCGACCUGAGAGGGUGAUCGGCCACACUGGAACUGAGACACGGUCCAGACUCCUACGGGAGGCAGCAGUAGGGAAUCUUCCGCAAUGGGCGAAAGCCUGACGGAGCAACGCCGCGUGAGUGAUGAAGGUCUUCGGAUCGUAAAGCUCUGUUAUUAGGGAAGAACAUAUGUGUAAGUAACUGUGCACAUCUUGACGGUACCUAAUCAAGAAGCCACGGCUAACUACGUG
Molecule: ribosomal RNA, 497 nt
Filed under: uncultured bacterium
Lineage: Bacteria
Description: partial 16S ribosomal RNA
Rfam family: Bacterial small subunit ribosomal RNA
Source: RNAcentral